RNAcentral lists this ribosomal RNA (250 nucleotides) under uncultured bacterium. Its description in RNAcentral is "partial 16S ribosomal RNA". It matches the Rfam family "Bacterial small subunit ribosomal RNA", at positions 524 to 773 of the family's 1533-position model. The record is from RNAcentral.
UACGGAGGGUGCAAGCGUUGUUCGGAAUCAUUGGGCGUAAAGCGCGUGUAGGCGGCUUUUUAAGUUUGGUGUGAAAGCCCGGGGCUUAACCCCGGAAGUGCACUGAAUACUGAUUAGCUAGAGGGUGAGAGAGGAUAGUGGAAUUCCUGGUGUAGGGGUGAAAUCCGUAGAUAUCAGGAGGAACAUCUGUGGCGAAGGCGGCUAUCUGGCUCACUUCUGACGCUGAGACGCGAAAGCGUGGGGAGCAAAC